This 642-nucleotide ribosomal RNA is filed under the name Lentilactobacillus parafarraginis. Its description in RNAcentral is "bacterial SSU rRNA". It matches the Rfam family "Bacterial small subunit ribosomal RNA", at positions 801 to 1443 of the family's 1533-position model. Lineage: Bacteria; Bacillati; Bacillota; Bacilli; Lactobacillales; Lactobacillaceae. The record is from RNAcentral.
CGUAAACGAUGAGUGCUAAGUGUUGGAGGGUUUCCGCCCUUUCAGUGCUGCAGCUAACGCAUUAAGCACUCCGCCUGGGGAGUACGACCGCAAGGUUGAAACUCAAAGGAAUUGACGGGGGCCCGCACAAGCGGUGGAGCAUGUGGUUUAAUUCGAUGCUACGCGAAGAACCUUACCAGGUCUUGACAUCUUCUGCUAACCUAAGAGAUUAGGCGUUCCCUUCGGGGACGGAAUGACAGGUGGUGCAUGGUUGUCGUCAGCUCGUGUCGUGAGAUGUUGGGUUAAGUCCCGCAACGAGCGCAACCCUUAUUGUCAGUUGCCAGCAUUUAGUUGGGCACUCUGGCGAGACUGCCGGUGACAAACCGGAGGAAGGUGGGGAUGACGUCAAAUCAUCAUGCCCCUUAUGACCUGGGCUACACACGUGCUACAAUGGACGGUACAACGAGUCGCGAAACCGCGAGGUCAAGCUAAUCUCUUAAAGCCGUUCUCAGUUCGGAUUGCAGGCUGCAACUCGCCUGCAUGAAGUUGGAAUCGCUAGUAAUCGUGGAUCAGCAUGCCACGGUGAAUACGUUCCCGGGCCUUGUACACACCGCCCGUCACCCAUGAGAGUUUGUAACACCCAAAGCCGGUGAGGUAACCUCG